GAUGAACGCUGGCGGCGUGCCUAAUACAUGCAAGUCGAGCGAACAGACGAGGAGCUUGCUCCUCUGACGUUAGCGGCGGACGGGUGAGUAACACGUGGAUAACCUACCUAUAAGACUGGGAUAACUUCGGGAAACCGGAGCUAAUACCGGAUAAUAUAUUGAACCGCAUGGUUCAAUAGUGAAAGACGGUUUUGCUGUCACUUAUAGAUGGAUCCGCGCCGCAUUAGCUAGUUGGUAAGGUAACGGCUUACCAAGGCAACGAUGCGUAGCCGACCUGAGAGGGUGAUCGGCCACACUGGAACUGAGACACGGUCCAGACUCCUACGGGAGGCAGCAGUAGGGAAUCUUCCGCGAUGGGCGAAAGCCUGACGGAGCAACGCCGCGUGAAUGAUGAAGGUCUUCGGAUCGUAAAACUCUGUUAUUAGGGAAGAACAAAUGUGUAAGUAACUAUGCACGUCUUGACGGUACCUAAUCAGAAAGCCACGGCUAACUACGUA
This 497-nucleotide ribosomal RNA is filed under the name uncultured bacterium. RNAcentral describes it as "partial 16S ribosomal RNA". It matches the Rfam family "Bacterial small subunit ribosomal RNA", at positions 28 to 507 of the family's 1533-position model. The record is from RNAcentral.